AUUGAACGCUGGCGGCAGGCCUAACACAUGCAAGUCGAACGGUAGCACAGAGAGCUUGCUCUCGGGUGACGAGUGGCGGACGGGUGAGUAAUGUCUGGGAAACUGCCUGAUGGAGGGGGAUAACUACUGGAAACGGUAGCUAAUACCGCAUAACGUCGCAAGACCAAAGAGGGGGACCUUCGGGCCUCUUGCCAUCAGAUGUGCCCAGAUGGGAUUAGCUAGUAGGUGGGGUAACGGCUCACCUAGGCGACGAUCCCUAGCUGGUCUGAGAGGAUGACCGGCCACACUGGAACUGAGCCACGGUCCAGACUCCUACGGGAGGCAGCAGUGGGGAAUAUUGCACAAUGGGCGCAAGCCUGAUGCAGCCAUGCCGCGUGUAUGAAGAAGGCCUUCGGGUUGUAAAGUACUUUCAGCGGGGAGGAAGGUGUUGUGGUUAAUAACCACAGCAAUUGACGUUACCCGCAGAAGAAGCACCGGCUAACUCCGUGCCAGCCGCCGCGGUAA
Molecule: ribosomal RNA, 504 nt
Filed under: uncultured bacterium
Lineage: Bacteria
Description: partial 16S ribosomal RNA
Rfam family: Bacterial small subunit ribosomal RNA
Source: RNAcentral